GCGGAAAAUUACAGCAAUCAUAUCACAGAGCAUUGUGCUGCAAAAAAGCGCUCCAAAUUUAUAUACAGAAAGAGAAAAGACAAAUACCAAAUCACCAAACUAAGUAUCCUUUUUUUUUAAUGGUUCCCAUCAGAUCAUAUUGAGAAUACUCAAAAUGUAAGACACCGUAAAAGAAUCAAUGAGAGUAGUGUCGGAACCAGCAGAACUUGCUUCCUCUAUCACCUUCUGCCACUUCAUUAUCUCUAGAAUGAAUCCACCAUAGAAGAUUUGAAAGAGAAUUUCCAUCAUCAAACCCAGUUAAGCUCCUAGUUUUGUUCAAAGCACCCACUUUAUCAUAUAUUGCUUCCAAAGUAUACACAAACCCUUUCCAUCCUUCUCCAACCCCUUCCCUUGCCAGAGCUGGCAGUGUCCAUUCGACCAACUGCUUCACAAACUGCACGUCUGAAAACAGAAGUUCAGUAAUGGGCAAUAUUGGUAAGACCUGAAUUCCAAGUCUACACUCUUUCCAUUCAGGUGGAGCAAACCAAAGGCCGCUAUCCCUUUUGUUAGACCAUAAAACACCCACCACCCUGUUGUUUUUUGUGAAUUCUUCCCCAUAUAAAGUGCUUCCCUCUUUCACAUGCCACCAAGUCUGUGCAGAAUGAAUCUCUAAAGCUGAAAGGGUCGAUCCAAUGGCAACAAGAUGGGUAUCCCCAUAGGCCAAACCCAUCAAAGCUGCUGAAUAGUAU
This 728-nucleotide unclassified non-coding RNA is filed under the name Hevea brasiliensis (rubber tree). Lineage: Eukaryota; Viridiplantae; Streptophyta; Magnoliopsida; Malpighiales; Euphorbiaceae. The record is from RNAcentral.